Molecule: ribosomal RNA, 380 nt
Filed under: uncultured bacterium
Lineage: Bacteria
Description: bacterial SSU rRNA
Rfam family: Bacterial small subunit ribosomal RNA
Source: RNAcentral
GUAGUCCUAGCUGUAAACGAUGGAUACUUGGUGUGGGGGGUGUUAAAUCCCCCUGUGCCGAAGCUAACGCAUUAAGUAUCCCGCCUGGGGAGUACGGUCGCAAGUCUGAAACUCAAAGGAAUUGACGGGGGCCCGCACAAGCGGUGGAGCAUGUGGUUCAAUUCGACGCAACGCGAAGAACCUUACCUGGGCUUGAACUGGAGUGGAAGUAGGCAGAGAUGUCUAUGUCCUUUUCGGGACUGCUCUAGAGGUGCUGCAUGGCUGUCGUCAGCUCGUGUCGUGAGAUGUUGGGUUAAGUCCCGCAACGAGCGCAACCCUUGUCCUUAGUUGCUAACAGGUAAAGCUGAGAACCCUAAGGAAACUGUCGGCGAUAAGCCGGA